Long non-coding RNA from Myxocyprinus asiaticus (Chinese sucker), 2242 nucleotides. RefSeq lists it as uncharacterized. The transcript is spliced from 5 exons. NCBI's taxonomy places the organism in Eukaryota, Metazoa, Chordata, Actinopteri, Cypriniformes, Catostomidae. The record is from RefSeq and is a predicted model, not a curated record.
CCUACAUUGGGCUGCACUGCUGCCAGAUCAGUGUUGAAUUACAGUGCAGCCCUGUAACAACAUGGAUCACUGAGAUAACAGCAGCAGGCCGCAUCUUAUCUGACCAGUCUGCAGGAAUGAGGCCUACACCCAAGAAUUGGCCAGAAGUGGCUCCCUUGUUUGCAUAGAAAUUGACAGUUCCAGGCCCGCUGAUAUGUUAUCUGAUUUGGAACCAAGGAAUAAGCCGGUUACAGUGGUGCCGAAACCCAGGAGGGAGGAGGGAUGCGCUGUCGCGGAGUCCUCGCCACUGCCAUCCGCCAGGGGAGCAGCCGCGGCCAUCUGCCUGAGGUUGGAGGGGCCGCUGCUGGCCGCAGAAAGCCAGAUGAACUGCUGCCAUCCGCCGAAGAAGGGGAUGAGCAGUUCUGUCCGCCAGGGGCCUGAGAACUCACUACCGUCCGUCGGGGGAGGAGUGAGCUGUCGUCCCCAAGAGGGCAGACGAGCGGUUGAGGACCUUGCGACAGCAUGUCCGGGAACCGGCAAGCAAGUUUUCCUCUCUCUCUCCUCUCUCUCUCUGUGUCUCUCGCUCACCCUUUCACUCUCCCCACGCCUCCCUAUGGUCUCUCCCCCAGGUUCCCAGGAGGCGGGGUGGACCACCGGCUGACAGAACGGCCAGAAGGGCAGUGUCUCCCCUCCAGAGAUGGGGGGGGAGUAGGUCAGUCCGGUGGCGCCCUGGCCUGAAUCGGGCGGGAGAGGAGUGUGAUGAGGAGGAGGGCGUGGCCGGGCCGUGAGGACGCACGGAUGGUGCUGAGUCAGGUGAUCAGUGGGAGAGCGAGAUAAAAGGGAGCCAGAGACGCCAGUUCGAGAGAGAGAGAGAGAGAGAGACGAACGUGGCCGCGCUGCAUAUGGGGUCCUCGCAGAGGUAAACGCCUGGAGACUGGCCAUCCUGCAGACUGCCUGUUGCCACCUCAGACAGCAGAUCUUUCAGGUUCUCGUCUUUUCCCCACACCUCCACCGCUGACACUCGCACAGAAAACCGUGCACCUGUCUUUUCCUUGCACUCGUUGAUCAGUUUGAAGAGCCAGGAGAUGGCACAAGUAAUUUGUCCAUUACCUAGUUUGGAGUGCCCAAAGCAAAAUACACAGCCAUCUGCUCCAUUCACCACGGACUGGAUGACUUCAGCCACAGUUCCUGCACAAACCUCUGCCUGCCAGGAAACAGACAAUAGCCAGUUAAACUCAGAUACAGAUCCCUUCAGAGAUACUUUAGCAUUAGGGAUGCGCAUACAAGCCCUCAGUCCAGCCUCUCUCAGCCUACUGCAGACAGUCUGAGCACUGAUGGAGGGAUUGUGCAUUCCUGGUGUAACUUGGGCAGUUGUUGUUGCCAUCCUGUACCUGUCCCACAGGUGUGGUAUUUGGAUGUACAGAUACUGUGCAGGUGUUGUUACACUUGGUCUACCACUGCGAGGACGAUCAGCUGUCCUUUCUGUCUCUCUGUAGUGCUGUCUUAGGCAUCUCACAGUACGGACAUUGCGAUUUAUUGCCCUGGCCACAUCUGCAGUCCUCAUGCCUCCAUGCAGCAUGCCUAAGGCACAUUCACGCAGAUGAGCAGGGACCCUGGGCAUCUUUCUUUUGGUGUUUUUCAGAGUCAUUAGAAAGGUCUCUUUAGUGUUCUAAGUUUUUAUAACUGUGACCUUAAUUGCCUACUGUCUGUAAGCUGUUAGUGUCUUAAUGACUGUUCCACAGGUGCAUGUUCAUUAAUUGUUUAUGGUUCAUUGAAAAAGCAUUGAAAACAUUGUUUAAACCCUUUACAAUAAAGAUCUGUAAAGUUAUUUGGAUUCUUACAAAAUUAUCUUUAAAAUACAGUGUCCUAAAAAAGGGACGUUUCUAUUUUUGCUGAGUUUAUAAAUAGUAAGAGUAGUGUGGAGGAUGCUACAUAAUAGCAGUUCAGUGCUGUAGAGUAACUAAAGCCUACUGGUUAUUUAAAAAGUGGACAAGCCCUUCAAUAUGUCCCUCCAAAACUUCCUGUUUCAACAGGAUAUAUUUCAACACAGGAAAGAAAUGCACAUGCUCUUUAGUGGCUAACAAUUUCUACAGCACUAACUUUAGAAAUUGUACCUAUCCCUCACCUGAGAGGCAUCAUGAGAGAAGGCAGCAUCAAAUGCAAACAUCUUGGGAGGAACCUGGUUGGAGCUGCCAUGUUUCUGAGUUUGAUUCUGCUGAGAGUUAGCUGCAGGGUCCAUGAUGGUCACCUGCUUCCUACGAGA